CUUGACCGAGCCGAGCCAGAGCGGCCGGUCCCGUUCCUGGCCGUAGGUGGCGAUGAGCGACUGGGCCUC
Molecule: antisense RNA, 69 nt
Filed under: Micromonospora sp. M71_S20
Lineage: Bacteria; Bacillati; Actinomycetota; Actinomycetes; Micromonosporales; Micromonosporaceae
Description: ASpks TB sRNA
Rfam family: ASpks TB sRNA
Source: RNAcentral